Molecule: ribosomal RNA, 472 nt
Filed under: uncultured bacterium
Lineage: Bacteria
Description: bacterial SSU rRNA
Rfam family: Bacterial small subunit ribosomal RNA
Source: RNAcentral
ACUCCUACGGGAGGCAGCAGUGGGGAAUAUUGCACAAUGGGGGAAACCCUGAUGCAGCCAUGCCGCGUGUGUGAAGAAGGCCUUCGGGUUGUAAAGCACUUUCAGUAGGGAGGAAGGUAGUGUAGUUAACACCUGCAUUAUUUGACGUUACCUACAGAAGAAGCACCGGCUAACUCCGUGCCAGCAGCCGCGGUAAUACGGAGGGUGCGAGCGUUAAUCGGAAUUACUGGGCGUAAAGCGCAUGCAGGCGGCCUGUUAAGUCAGAUGUGAAAGCCCGGGGCUUAACCUCGGAAUUGCAUUUGAAACUGGCAGGCUAGAGUCUUGUAGAGGGGGGUAGAAUUUCAGGUGUAGCGGUGAAAUGCGUAGAGAUCUGAAGGAAUACCAGUGGCAAGGCGGCCCCCUGGACAAAGACUGACGCUCAGAUGCGAAAGCGUGGGGAGCAAACAGGAUUAGAUACCCUGGUAGCACAGAG